UUUGAAUGAUGAAUUAAAUUCUUUGGUCCGUGUUUAUGACGGGAAGUAAGACCCCCGGUAUGAGUGACAAAAGGAAAGUGCCUAGACAGCAUGCUUUCUGACUCU
This 105-nucleotide small nucleolar RNA is filed under the name Eremothecium cymbalariae DBVPG#7215. RNAcentral describes it as "Small nucleolar RNA SNORD18". It matches the Rfam family "Small nucleolar RNA SNORD18". From Rfam's summary of the family: U18 is a member of the C/D class of snoRNA which contain the C (UGAUGA) and D (CUGA) box motifs. It is encoded in introns of ribosomal protein L1 in Xenopus and human, and in introns of elongation factor 1 beta in yeast. Related snoRNAs in Arabidopsis and rice have been named R63 and Z106 respectively. Lineage: Eukaryota; Fungi; Ascomycota; Saccharomycetes; Saccharomycetales; Saccharomycetaceae. The record is from Rfam by way of RNAcentral.